RNAcentral lists this ribosomal RNA (1446 nucleotides) under uncultured organism. RNAcentral describes it as "SSU rRNA". It matches the Rfam family "Bacterial small subunit ribosomal RNA". The record is from RNAcentral.
AGCUACAGGCUUAACACAUGCAAGUCGAGGGGCAGCAUGGUCUUAGCUUGCUAAGGCCGAUGGCGACCGGCGCACGGGUGAGUAACACGUAUCCAACCUACCGUCUACUCUUGGACAGCCUUCUGAAAGGAAGAUUAAUACAAGAUGGCAUCAUGAGUCCGCAUGUUCACAUGAUUAAAGGUAUUCCGGUAGACGAUGGGGAUGCGUUCCAUUAGAUAGUAGGCGGGGUAACGGCCCACCUAGUCUUCGAUGGAUAGGGGUUCUGAGAGGAAGGUCCCCCACAUUGGAACUGAGACACGGUCCAAACUCCUACGGGAGGCAGCAGUGAGGAAUAUUGGUCAAUGGGCGAGAGCCUGAACCAGCCAAGUAGCGUGAAGGAUGACUGCCCUAUGGGUUGUAAACUUCUUUUAUAAAGGAAUAAAGUCGGGUAUGGAUACCCGUUUGCAUGUACUUUAUGAAUAAGGAUCGGCUAACUCCGUGCCAGCAGCCGCGGUAAUACGGAGGAUCCGAGCGUUAUCCGGAUUUAUUGGGUUUAACGGGAGCGUAGAUGGAUGUUUAAGUCAGUUGUGAAAGUUUGCGGCUCAACCGUAAAAUUGCAGUUGAUACUGGAUAUCUUGAGUGCAGUUGAGGCAGGCGGAAUUCGUGGUGUAGCGGUGAAAUGCUUAGAUAUCACGAAGAACUCCGAUUGCGAAGGCAGCCUGCUAAGCUGCAACUGACAUUGAGGCUCGAAAGUGUGGGUAUCAAACAGGAUUAGAUACCCUGGUAGUCCACACGGUAAACGAUGAAUACUCGCUGUUUGCGAUAUACAGCAAGCGGCCAAGCGAAAGCGUUAAGUAUUCCACCUGGGGAGUACGCCGGCAACGGUGAAACUCAAAGGAAUUGACGGGGGCCCGCACAAGCGGAGGAACAUGUGGUUUAAUUCGAUGAUACGCGAGGAACCUUACCCGGGCUUAAAUUGCAGAUGAAUUACGGUGAAAGCCGUAAGCCGCAAGGCAUCUGUGAAGGUGCUGCAUGGUUGUCGUCAGCUCGUGCCGUGAGGUGUCGGCUUAAGUGCCAUAACGAGCGCAACCCUUGUUGUCAGUUACUAACAGGUUCUGCUGAGGACUCUGACAAGACUGCCAUCGUAAGAUGUGAGGAAGGUGGGGAUGACGUCAAAUCAGCACGGCCCUUACGUCCGGGGCUACACACGUGUUACAAUGGGGGGUACAGAGGGCCGCUACCACGCGAGUGGAUGCCAAUCCCCAAAACCUCUCUCAGUUCGGACUGGAGUCUGCAACCCGACUCCACGAAGCUGGAUUCGCUAGUAAUCGCGCAUCAGCCACGGCGCGGUGAAUACGUUCCCGGGCCUUGUACACACCGCCCGUCAAGCCAUGGGAGCCGGGGGUACCUGAAGUGCGUAACCGCGAGGAGCGCCCUAGGGUAAAACUGGUGACUGGGGCUAAGUAG